RNAcentral lists this ribosomal RNA (462 nucleotides) under uncultured bacterium. RNAcentral's name for it is "bacterial SSU rRNA". It matches the Rfam family "Bacterial small subunit ribosomal RNA", at positions 337 to 796 of the family's 1533-position model. The record is from RNAcentral.
UCCUACGGGAGGCAGCAGUGAGGAAUAUUGGUCAAUGGGCGCGAGCCUGAACCAGCCAAGUAGCGUGCAGGAUGACGGCCCUAUGGGUUGUAAACUGCUUUUAUGCGGGGAUAAAGUGACGUACGUGUACGUUUUUGUAGGUACCGCAUGAAUAAGGACCGGCUAAUUCCGUGCCAGCAGCCGCGGUAAUACGGAAGGUCCGGGCGUUAUCCGGAUUUAUUGGGUUUAAAGGGAGCGCAGGCGGAGGCUUAAGCGUGAUGUGAAAUGCCGCGGCUCAACCGUGGAAGUGCGUCGCGAACUGGGUUUCUUGAGUGAGUGCGACGUGUACGGAAUUCGUGGUGUAGCGGUGAAAUGCUUAGAUAUCACGAAGAACCCCGAUUGCGAAGGCAGUGCACGAGCCCUUUACUGACGCUAAAGCUCGAAGGUGCGGGUAUCGAACAGGAUUAGAUACCCUGGUAGUCC